RNAcentral lists this long non-coding RNA (2801 nucleotides) under Citrus sinensis (sweet orange). RNAcentral's name for it is "long non-coding RNA (CSIN_LNC001925)". The record is from RNAcentral. Lineage: Eukaryota; Viridiplantae; Streptophyta; Magnoliopsida; Sapindales; Rutaceae.
AAUUCUGUGAAGUACAUGCCCAGACAAAUAAUCCCUUACAGAAGAGGGAUGCCCAUACUCCACUCGUAUUGCACGAGGGAGAGGAAAUUUUUUGAAAUAUUAAACAAAUAAGCACGUUAGCCCCCACAAAUGCUUUUGUGGGGGCUUGAGCAUUGUGAGGGCAGCAGCCCACCACUCCGACCAAGGCCGAAGUGGCGGGGAUAUCCAACUUGGAUUGAUUAGAUCGUCAUCCCCAAAUUGGGCUUAGAUUGCUUGAACAACCCAACCAAAAAUACUUUGGCUAUAUACGGCCAAUCAUAAAGCUUUCACGCAGAUGUAAAUGUUUUAUGAUGCGUGAGUUUUUCAUUUCCGGCAAUUCUCCAAGAAAAUACAUACCUAAAAAAAUUGCGUUACGGUUACGGGUGGGCAUAAGUCAGGUUAGGAGGAUUGAAAAAAUUCUAACCCAAUCGAACCCGCAGAACCACAUAUUGGGUUGGGUUUUGGGAAAAAAGUUUGUCUUCAUAGUCUAAUUUAAAAAUUGUUUAAAAUUAAAAAAUUAUAAAAAUUAAUUAAUUAAUUAGAAAAAACUAAAAAAAAAACACAAACACACACACAAAUAUUAACAUCAUAUAAAAAAUAUACAACAUUUUAGAGUCUAACAAUCAAAUUAUUAGUUCACAAUUAAUGAAGACAAAAACAAAUAAUAAAUUCAAAGUCUUAUUUAACACAAAACACUAAAGUCUAAACAAUAGCAAUCAGUAGGAGUUUGAUAAAGAUUAGUCUAGAUUAAUGGUAUCAAAUUCCGAUGCUAACAAUGACUCUACAAAGCAAUCAAAAUGAAAAUAUUAGGUAUAUAUGUUAUAACAAAUACAUAUAUUUAUCUAACCUAAUUAAUUUACUAAAUUUCAUAUAUUCUCUUCUCCAGAAUGAAGCUAAUUUUGCCCACAUUUCAAGCUCUCCACCAUUUUUGGACUACUCAAAGGAGCUCAAAAUGGAUCAGAGAAUACGCCCUACUGCAGUUAAUGCAGACUUAGAAGCAACUAUAGAUAUUGGGACUGCAAGUAUGUCUUUGACAACAUAAAACAAGAUUUUAUACUUCCUACCAUUUAGCUUCCACUAAUUCAAUAAAUCAAAUGAAUCAUCAAAAAAAAUUUCACGGUCAUCUAAUGAAUAUUUAUCCACUUCAUUUUUAAACUCAACACCAUCCUAGCACCAUCCUCCUCCAAUUUCUUCUUUUUCCAUUUUAAAAGCUUUACUACCUUAGCUAAUCUAUAAUCGAUAUUGUCACUUCUUUUUCUCCAACUCUGGUGACAAAAUGAAAACAAUAGAGGAUUGGCUUUGGCUAUUACUAUCACUUCUAGCAUCAUUAUUUAUGUAAAAUCAUACAAUGAUGACAAUAAAUCCUUAAUCAUUUUUACUAAUUCACACAUGACUUUUUCAUCAUACAACCCUUUAAAACAAAAUUUCACAAAAUUCAAUUUGUAACAUGGAUCAAGCACAACAACAAUAAUUAAAAACUUAUUUAGUGUGUCAAGGGAACCCCAAUAUUUGCUAUACUUCUCUUUUAUCUUCUUGGCCAUUGCACUCGCAUAAGAAUCUUCACUUAGUAUCAAUUCUUUUAACUUUGACUCAAUAAAAAUAUAUAAUGCAUCUCAUGAAAAUAUAAAUGUGAUGUAAUAGGCAAAGAAGCACUCAACUUUUUGGUUAUUUUAUAAAAAUUCUCCAAAAAAUUAUUCAACACACUUCCAUUUGCCCAAUCUCAGUGUUCAAGUGGCCUAAUCCUUUCUUUCCACCAUUUUUCUCUUCAAAAUAAGAUUUAUAAAAUCCAUCGUCAUUCUCCAAUCAUUCAAAAGCAUUCAAGAGCACUCUUUUAUAUCGAAUAGGUGGAAUUCCACUAAGUACGCACAUCCAUCACAACAAAAUAUGUAUAGAAUCAAGUUUUUCAUGCUCAACAUAUUUUAUAAAUCUUAUUAAUUUAGAAGGUGAUGAUAUUAAAUAUUUCUUAGCAUAAUGAAUGUUAGAAUCAGAGUUAUUCAUCUCUUUUAACCCCUUUAGUCACAAUCAAAUUUAUAAUGUGUGCACAACAUCUAACAUGAAGAUAAUCAUCAUUCAACACAAGCCUAUCCCAAUUACUCAACCUCUUUUUAAAAUAAAAAUAGUCAAAUCAUUUGAACUUGCAUUUUCGACAAUAUUUAUAAACACCCUAUCAAUACCCAAUUCAAGCAAGCAAGAUUCAAUCAAUUUUUCAAUUUUAUCCCCUUACGAUUACCGAUAUGUCAAAAGUUUUAUAAUCAUUUUAUGAAGUUGCCACUCAUCAUCAAUAAAAUGGACUGUAAUAACCAUGUAGUUCAAAUUUUAUAUAUUAAAGUCCAACAAUAAGUUGUUAUACAAAAUUCUAUAUAUAUUAGAGGCAAACACAAUUUUCAAGUACAAUUAAUACACAUAUCUAGUAGCAAUUUUCCUGAAAAAAGUAUCAAGUUUUGUACAAACUUUGCUCGUUAGUUUUGAAACUCUUCUUUCUCAAACAAAACUAAGAGACAAUUCAUCAAUCAUUAUCAUCGCAAUGCAUGCUUUUCUAAGUUCCUCUUUCCUACAAGACAGCCACAAGACUUCCGCUACCACCAAAUAUAUUAUCCACCGACACUAAGGUUUUUUUUUUGUUUUUUUUUUUUAAAUCAACUUUUCUGUUAGCAUAGAUUGUGCACACUAGCAAGUGAUUCCAUAAAAGUAUGAGUCUCGAUAAGUCUAGAAUGAUACACAUAUACUUUAAAAUAGUAGUUACACUUACAUUUAGUAUCAUUCUCGAAUUUUGUGUAACAUUG